GGGUUGUGAGGUUAAGCGACUAAGCGUACACGGUGGAUGCCCUGGCAGUCAGAGGCGAUGAAGGACGUGCUAAUCUGCGAUAAGCGUCGGUGAGGUGAUAUGAACCGUUAUAACCGGCGAUUUCCGAAUGGGGAAACCCAGUGUGUUUCGACACACUAUCAUUAACUGAAUCCAUAGGUUAAUGAGGCGAACCGGGGGAACUGAAACAUCUAAGUACCCCGAGGAAAAGAAAUCAACCGAGAUUCCCCCAGUAGCGGCGAGCGAACGGGGAGGAGCCCAGAGCCUGAAUCAGUGUGUGUGUUAGUGGAAGCGUCUGGAAAGGCGUGCGAUACAGGGUGACAGCCCCGUACACAAAAAUGCACAUACUGUGAGCUCGAUGAGUAGGGCGGGACACGUGGUAUCCUGUCUGAAUAUGGGGGGACCAUCCUCCAAGGCUAAAUACUCCUGACUGACCGAUAGUGAACCAGUACCGUGAGGGAAAGGCGAAAAGAAC
This 493-nucleotide ribosomal RNA is filed under the name Escherichia coli. RNAcentral's name for it is "partial 23S ribosomal RNA". It matches the Rfam family "Bacterial large subunit ribosomal RNA", at positions 1 to 524 of the family's 2925-position model. Lineage: Bacteria; Pseudomonadati; Pseudomonadota; Gammaproteobacteria; Enterobacterales; Enterobacteriaceae. The record is from RNAcentral.